AGGACGAACGCUGGCGGCGUGCCUAACACAUGCAAGUCGAACGGGGCCAGGGGCAACUCUGGUUCAGUGGCGGACGGGUGCGUAACACGUGAGGAACAUGACUUUCGGCGGGGGAUAGCCGGCCCAACGGCCGGGUAAUACCGCGUACGACCUCUCGGGGACAUCCCCGGUUGGUGAAAGCAGCAAUGCACCGAAAGAGUGCCUCGCGGCCUAUCAGCUAGUUGGUGGGGUAACGCUCACCAAGGCGACGACGGGUAGC
This 259-nucleotide ribosomal RNA is filed under the name uncultured soil bacterium. RNAcentral's name for it is "partial 16S ribosomal RNA". It matches the Rfam family "Bacterial small subunit ribosomal RNA", at positions 26 to 287 of the family's 1533-position model. The record is from RNAcentral.